ACAGAGAAACAGAAUCCUUUUAUCUGAACCAGCUAUCUUGCCUCCCAGUGCCUUCACAACAAGCUGGAUGUACUCAGGAUGCGCCUUAUAUAUAACUCCAGUAAUGAGAUUGCCAUCAGAAACACAAUCCAUCAUGGUUUUGGGUUCAAUCCAAAGAGCACCGGCAUCGAUGAGAACAGGUCCCAGAGCACGGUAUGCAGUGCACUUCCGGCCUUUAAUAAGCCUGCAGCUGCCAAGAUCAAUGGCCCAUGGCAAAUAGCAGCAAUCAGCUUUCCUGAAUCGGAAAAUUGCCUCGCACAAUUUAACACAGAUUCAUUCAUGGCAAGAUAUUCUGGAGCCCUUCCUCCUGGUAUAACAAGCGCAUCAUAUUUGCUGAAAUCAACUUCAUCGAAAGUUGCAUUGAGACUAAAGUUGUGCCCAGGCUUCUCAGUAUAAGUCUACAGCAAGUAAAGUUCGAACAAACACAUCAGAACUAAGGAAAUGAAUGGCCAUAUUAUGGAUGUACUUUAUUUGAUCAGUUGGGCUACACCCACCAAGUUUGUCAGAAGUUCAAAACACGGUUUUUAUCAAAAAGGGAGCUCGCUAGACACAUCAUGAAUGUAAUACGAUCAUGGAAUCAUUAUCACUAUCAGUCUCACCACGACCACUAUCAUCACCAAGAUCAUCACUAUUACAUUCCUCCACUGCCAUCGGAGCCAGCAUUAACACCAACAUUACUACCUCCACCUCCAGCAUCCAUAUCACAUGACAAGCAAUUAAUCAGAAAAACCCUCUAAUUGGUUUUAGAAAAAUCAAAAUCUUAUAUUUGAAAUCUUCUUUAAUCCAAGAAGAUUUGCCUAACACAAUGGGUUUUGUCCACUAAUAUCUAGAGACUGACAUACUCACAUGCUUGUUUUCGUUAACAAUCAUGAAAUGGAUAUUUAUAUAAUAACAAAUUAAUAAAUACAAGGAAGGGGGGGACCUGAUAUCCAUGAUAGGCACCAGAGUCCCCAACUGUAGUGCGGCAAUAAUCACCAGCUUUCUUUCCAGGACAAACAGCAUCAACUGCUAUUCCAUAAGCCUGCAAGGCUUGAAAUGGAACCAUAGCCUGCAAAAACAAUAACAAAACUCCAUCACUUAAAGAAGAAAAACAACUUCAAAAUGAGAAAGACUGAUAAAAACGAAAGCAACCCACCUCAUAAUCUUCCAUGUAAUCCCCACAUAACAAUAGAACUUUCUUCCGUGGCUUGCAAUUAGCCAUUGCUGAUGCUAACAAUGACGCUUGAGAUUUAGCUCUCUGUGUAUUGCUAUGUGAGUGAUUAUAAAUUUAUAAGUGCAGGAGAAACGUAUUGUUCUUUAACUCUCUUUGUUAAUGUUGACUCGAUGCACAUUCUGACGAAUAGAAUAAAGAAAAUGGGCGGUUUGUUAUUAACGAAAACAACUACAUGACUUCAGUUCGGUUUCACUAUUCAUAUAAAAACAUCGAAAAAAAAGAGUUCAUAUAUAUAUAUAUAUAUAUAUAUAUUUUAAUUGUUUUCUAACAUUGUUAUGCUUAGCUCAAUUGGUUUGUUGACGUGUCUUAGUCGAAGUGUCUGCUAUGUGAUAGAUAAUCGUUUUUUUUUCCUUUUAAAAAAUGGAUGAUAAAUGUUGUUCGUAACCUGAAAAUAGAAAAAAAAAUACGAGUUAGACUAAAUCGCAUUUAGACUUGAUCCAAUCAAGUCUUACAUCAAUACUGAAUCAUUAUUAAUGAUAAUUUUCAGGUGAAAAUGAAACACAACAACUCACUAUCGAAAUUAGCAUGAUAUUUAAAGUGAUCUUGUUAAUUUUUCACUGACAUCAUUCAUAUUGUAAGCAAAAUCCUCUGCUAAUGACAUUGACAGGUCAUCAUUCAUUCGCACAACCAACAUGAUGAAAACCCAUUUCUUUGCCAAGCAGUAGAGUCUAUUUUCGCCACAGGCAAAACAGCAGACAAGUUACAAAGAUUUCUAGACACUAACAUAGAAUCCAUGUGUUAUUUGUUACAAGAUGGAUUUCUACUCCCAAACAUGGAGUCUGCAUCCGUGUGUUAUUUGAUAUAAGGUACAAGCACAGCAGUUAACAUGAAAAUAGCUAAAAUGACACCCGGAUUCCAAGUAAAGCCAUCAACAGAGAGACGAAAUCAGGGUGCCCAGGCCAAGCAGCUCCUGUGAUUAAAUUCUCAUCGGUGUAGCACCGAUGCAUUGAAUCAGGUUCUAGGCUUGUAGCCAUGUUGCCCCUCCCAAGACAACAUUCAGCUUCACCGCAGGGUUUACUGUGCAUUUUAGUCCCUGCAAAGGUGAUUCGUAUGAGGGAUUAUACGGUAUAACACAUGUAAUUAACAUAUGAUAUUUGCAAUUCUAUGGAGCAAUCCUGUUUCAAACAUAGAAGAUAAAGGUGGUUGAAUCUGUCAUUUGAUGAUAUGAGCCAUGAUCAGUUGCAUACGAAUUUUCUUCAGAGGUAAAGUUCUAAAAGUAGUAUAGUUUUAAAUGUUAAAAGCGGUAAAACUAAUCUUUAAGCAUUUCCAUGUCUCCCUGUUGUCCACUGAUGACAGUCUUGCUAGCAUCAAAUAAAUAACGUGUGCACACUGUUGUAAAAAACAUGGUUGAAUCUGUAAACGUGGAGAUUUGACUCCAUCGACCACGCUAGCCGCCUCUCCUCACCUAUCUUGUCUUAACUUCAAGCGUGGGGUUAUAAAAAUAUACACACAUCACAUAAUGUUUACCUGCACUUUUCAAAGAGGGCAUUAAUCUUCACUGAUGCUGGGCAACAUGACAGGUUUGUUCCACUUGCUCACACAUAGACAAUCCACGCAUAGUGUGAUGCAUUUUUCAUCUUGCAGGAUGCUGCUUCAAACCAUGUCAAAGUUUUAUUUGUUAUUUUCCAAUGUCGAGAUGAUGCACUGACCGAAACCACUGUCUCAUUUGCUCCAUAUACAUUCCCUUGACAGUUAUUACUUGAGUGUUCUACUAAUAAAUAAAUGGUUUUGCCUUUCAUUCCUUAAGUUUACACUUGCCAUUGGUUAAGUAUUUCAUCUUAAUAUGUGAUUCAGCACCACCCAACUUCCCCAGCCAAGAGAACCUGGAAGAUUAUGCAGGUUCAUCAAAGAAACAUCUUGGCGGAGAUGAUGUCGGUCCUGCACCAGCACUUCCAAAGAAGCAAUGCCUCUCCAUUCCAUCCCCUGAAAAGGUUUGCAUCUACAACAUCAUUUAUCUCUCUGUGCUGCUCCACCUUCUCUCUGUUUAACAAAGAUACUUUUCGUACAGAUCAACUCGCCAGAUAACCAAUUAUUCAAUCACAAGCAGCUACAUCAUUCUUAUUUCCUUUGAGAAUCAUUUGUAGCUUACACUUACACUUAUCUCCUAAAGUAGGAAAAAAACUAGCAUUCAGUUAAUCAAUGCUUUCUUAUCCAGCAUCGCAAGCUCAUUGGACAUCUUCUUCACCUGCUUUUUUAUUGCAACCUGCAGUUCAUCGACGUCCACCUUUUCUCUAUGUACGAGGCAUAAAGUACUUGGCUCCAGGCACCUUUUGUUUUGCUUUGAUUUAACUAUCUUUACUCAACUUUUGCAAUCCUGUCACUAACUUUAUGAAUUCCAUGCCUUUACUUAACUUUUACAAUCGUAUCACUAACUUUAUGAAUUCCAUGCCUUUUACUUCAUAAUAUUUCUGGGCAUUUUAUCUUUGUCUAUUAUAAUAAUUAGAAUCAAAUUUCACUUAAAACACCCUCAGCAUUGCGUCGGCAUCAAAAGCUAGUAAAAAGCUAUAAUCUGUAGCUUUUUUGAUAUCACAGCAGCAUUAUGCAAUAUCAAACAAAACAUUACAAUAGCUUUGACUUUUAUAUUUUGUGCCCAAUAAAUACAGAAGAUAAUAAAAUAAGCGGAAGUUUUUCUUUUUUUUCCUAAAUCUUGGUAUCUAGAAAUUCAAUAGGCUUUAAUUAAUUCGGUCAAGUCGGGAUGAUCUACUAAGAGGUAAAGCUCUUCCAGUAAUAAUAUACUUCAUUCAUAAAACUCGAAUUCAAAAAAUAAAAGGAAUAAGUUUCAAAUCACUUAAUCCAACUAUCAUUGAUUAGCGUGUAAGUUUAACAAAAGACAACAACAUAUUUUGUUUAAGAAAAUUUUUUUUUUAAACUAAUUUUAAAAUCAACUUAAGUAUUACAAAAUAAAUAAACAUAAAAGACAUGCAUCUCUAUUUUCAUGGUCUCAUUACCUGUACUCUAAAACGAGUGGGAUUUUCAUUGUACAUUUAUUACUGUAUAAAAUUUGUAUUUUUUAAAUUUUGUAAUCAAACUUCUUUUUUGGGCAUUUUAGUCCCAAUUAAGAAGCAAUUGGCUUUAAAUUUUUAUGAAAGGGUGAGAUUGAAAAAAGAGGGACCGAAAUGAAAAACAUGUCAAACAUGGGUGACGCACCAUGAGUUUCGAAAAAAUAUAUUUUGGUCCUUCAACUUAAAUAAUCAAGAAAAUUAUACAUGUGUUUUCAAAACUAAAUGGACCGAAAAUAAACUUUGGCAAAAAAGCAGAGGUGCUGUUUUUUCCCCCUAUAUCAGAGCUGCCAUUUUGAUUGUUUUUCAAUAUUGGUACCCUAGCUUCUAAUUCAAUUAGAACCAUAAAAUUAAUUUGAUCUCCGCAAUUUCAAGUCGCAACCUAAAGUCAAAAUGCCUUGUCAAGACCACGGUAGCCUAACAGAAGGCAAGCAGGAUCAACGUAGAACACAAAUACCUAAAUUCACUUAAUAUCAAAGGAUUUAAUUGAAGAAAAAAAACCUCAAAAAAAAAUAAAAAGUUAGAGGGGCCGGGAACAUAAAAGGAAAAAAACACUGUUCUAUUGACAUGUGAGUAUAGCUACAAUUGCCAAAUCUUUGAGGGUGUUUUGUAAUUUUUAAAAAAUACUAGCACUUAUAGAUGCAGAAAUAUUCCAUUUUAUUUCCAAUUGACUUGAAAAUCUUUCAGAGACGCCGGCCGUUGUUUGUGAAUGGAGGGGAGUUGUUCCUCCCUUGUCCCUGCUAUCGGAUUUGGUAUGGGUUCACGUAUUUUCAUAUUUUUUUUAUAAUUAGAAUAUAGUAUUUAAUAGUUUAUACUCAAUAAAAAAUAAAAUACAAUGCCAAAUGAGGCCAUCCACUUAAACAUUAAAGCAGGGUCAUCAAGGGCUUUGAAUCCGGAUGUUAUUUGAUAGACAUACACGAACAGGUAGUAUUAUUGCAACAGCACAGCUAGAAUGACACUCGGAUACCAAGUAAGGCCAUCAGCUGAGACACAAACUGAGGGUGCCCUGGCCAUGCAGCUCCGGUAACCAGGUUUUCGUCGGUGUAGCAACGAUCGAUUGGAUCCGGUUCUAGCCAUGUUGCCCCUCCCAAGACGACGUUCAGCUUCACAGCAGGGUAUGCGGUGCAUUUUCUUCCCUGCAGCAACAUGAUUCACAUAUACAAGAAUAAGGAUGGCAGGUGUGAAGAAAAUGAUUACUUGUGUGAUUCUAUGAAAGUGAAAGAAAACAUUGGAUACUACCUUGAGAACUCCCGCAGCAGCUAGGAUCUGCUGCCCGUGACAAAUAGAGGCAACCGGCUUCUUUGAUUGCAUGAAUUUCUUCACCAAGGCAAUCACUGUCUCAUCCAGUGCCAAAUAUUCUGGAGACCGGCCUCCAGGGAUGACGAGAGCGUCGUAACUCGAGGCAUCCAAGCCUUCAUAGGAAGCUGUUAGAAUGAAAUUAUGGCCUGGCUUCUCAGUGUAUGUUUGGUCACCUUCAAAGUCAUGGACUGCAGUCGGGCAGAAAUCCCCAGCCUUCUUCUUGGGGCAAACUGCAUCAACGUGGCACCCAAGAGCUUGAAGGGAUUGAAGAGGAACAGUAACCUCAUAAUCUUCCAUGAAAUCCUGAAAGCAAGAAUAAGAGAAUAAAUACUUCUUAGUAAACAAGAAAAACACUUGUUUCUUCGAGCUUGAUGAUAGUAACCAGAGUAAAAUAAUUUUUGUAUUAGAACUUACCCCACAGAGAAACAGAAUCCUUUUAUCUGAACCAGCUAUCUUGCCUCCCAGUGCCUUCACAACAAGCUGGAUGUACUCAGGAUGCGCCUUAUAUAUAACUCCAGUAAUGAGAUUGCCAUCAGAAACACAAUCCAUCAUGGUUUUGGGUUCAAUCCAAAGAGCACCGGCAUCGAUGAGAACAGGUCCCAGAGCAUGGUAUGCAGUGCACUUCCGGCCUUUUAAUAAGCCUGCAGCUGCCAAGAUCAAUGGCCCAUGGCAAAUAGCAGCAAUCAGCUUUCCUGAAUCGGAAAAUUGCCUCGCACAAUUUAACACAGAUUCAUUUAUGGCAAGAUAUUCUGGAGCCCUUCCUCCUGGUAUAACAAGCGCAUCAUAUUUGCUGAAAUCAACUUCAUCGAAAGUUGCAUUGAGACUAAAGUUGUGCCCAGGCUUCUCAGUAUAAGUCUACAGCAAGUAAAGUUCGAACAAACACAUCAGAACUAAGGUAAUGAAUGGCCACAUUAAGGAUGUACUUUAUUUGAUCAGUUGGGCUACACCCACCAAGUUUAUCAGAAGUUCAAAACACGGUUUUUAUCAAAAAGGGAGCUCGCUAGACACAUUAUGAAUGUUAAACGAUCAUGGAAUCAUUAUCACUAUCAGUCUCACCACAACCACAACCACUAUCAUCACCAAGAUCAUCACUAUUACAUCCUCUACUACCAUCGGAGCCAGCAUUAACACCAAUAUUACUACCUCCACCUCCACCUCCACCUCCAGCAUCCAUAUCACAUGACAAGCAAUUAAUCAGAAAAACACUCUAAUUAGUUUCAGAAAAAUCAAAAUCUUAGAUUUGAAAUCUUCUUUAAUCCAAGAAGAUUUGUCUAACAUCAUGGGUUUUGUGCACUAAUAUCUAGAGACUGACAUACUCACAUGCCCUGUACAAUAAUUUGCACAUCCAUACAAGACAUAGAUGGGGGUGUUACAAAGAAAUAUGUAUUGCCAAGCAAACAAUGAUUUCGUUAACAAUCAUGAAAUGGAUAUUCAUAUAAUAACAAAUUAAUAAAUACAAGGAAGGGGGGGGGACCUGAUAUCCAUGAUAGGCACCAGAGUCCUCAACUGUAGUGCGGCAAUAAUCACCAGCUUUCUUUCCAGGACAAACAGCAUCAACUGCUAUUCCAUAAGCCUGCAAGGCUUGAAAUGGAACCAUAGCCUGCAAAAACAAUAACAAAACCCCAUCACUUAAAGAAGAAAAACAACUUCAGAUAGAUAAAAACGAAAGCAACCCACCUCAUAAUCUUCCAUGUAAUCCCCACAUAACAAUAGAACUUUCUUCUGUGGCUUGCAAUUAGCCAUUGCUGAUGCUAACAAUGACGCUUGAGAUUUAGCUCUCUGUGUAUUGCUAUUUGAGUGAUUAUAAAUUUAUAAGUGCAGGAGAAACGUUUUGUUCUUUAACUCUCUUUGUUAAUGUUGACUCGAUCUCGAUGCACAUUCUGACGAAUAAAAUAAAGAAAAUGGGAGGUUUGUUAUUUACGUAAACGACUUAAGUUCGGUUUCACACUAUUCAUAUAAAAACAUCGAGAAAAAAAGUUAAUAAAUAUAUAUUUUUUAAUUGUUGUGCUUAGCUCAAUUGGUUUGUGGACGUGUCUUAGUCGAAGUUCCUGUUACAUGGAGAUUUGACCACCAAUUAUGCUAGCCGCCUCUCCUCACCUAUCUUGUCUUAACUUCAGACGCGGAGUUUUGAAAAUGUUUGUUCAAUUAAUACAUACUAUAUAAUUUUUAUUGUAAAUUUUUUAUUAAAAUAUUUUUUAUUUAAAAAUAUAUUAAAAUAAUAUAUUUUUUAUUUUUAUACCAACAUAGAUAAAAAAUAUUAAAAAUAAUUUUUUUAAAAAAUAUUAUUUUGAUGUAUUUUUAAAUAAAAAAUACUCUAAAUCACAAAUGUUCCUAAACAUACAGUUAAAGAUUAUGAUGCUCCGAGCAACUAGAACAUCUUUGCAGGCAAUUUCAAGGCCAUAGUUUUGGCAAACAUUAGUACUCUAUUUCUUGCAAUCAGAUUUUCCUGCUUUUGAGUUCUCCGAGGUAUCUCUACUCAUAUGGUGUCCUAAGAUUGCUUGACUUCAUUUUGGCUUCCACUGCCUAAAUUUGGAUCUGAUUCUUGCUAUUGUGAUGAUUUUGGUCUGUUGCUGCUCUAAUUGCUUUGUGGGGUUUAAUACCGAACUCAUUUUUUAGAUUCAAGAUUUCCUCCAGUAUUAGUUGUUUGAUCCUUGCCAGUUCAAUUUGAAGCUCCUCUUCAUGUAUGCACUGCACUUUGGUGUCGGUCUGAAUGGACAACAUAAACUGACCACUGCAGAUGUUGCGCUAAAAUUAUAGUUGAUCGCUACUGUUCACUCUAAAAUUUGUCGUCUGUAAAGCCAUAUCAUUCUGAAAACUUGUCGAAGACACUAUUUCUUGAUGAUGAAUGAUGGAAUGAUUGAAUUGUCUCGUAUAUACAACAAGAUUCAUCUAAGAAAUCGGCAAGAAAUUCCCAUUCACGGAAAUUCAUAUGGGGAAAGUGAAUAAAAUCUUGGUCUCUCUUUCUGUUAUUUUCUUUUAGAAAAAUUCAUUAGGUUGCUUGCUUGCUGCAGUUGAAUGCUUGAUUUUCCAAAUGAACACCUUCUCUGUUAAUCUCCUAUAUCUUCGAAAUAAUCCUUUUCUUUGAAGAGCUCAAUCAUACAUCAUUAAUCAUCGUGCUAUUUCUUUACAGCCCCCUGCUCUAAAACGUUCCUUAUGCAUCCUAUAUUGCGCUUGCGCUCCUUCCUUUUCUUCUUGGCCACUAUAUUUUUCUUUUUGGCCAUAUCCACACCUCUAGAUCGCCAUGGCAACGAGAUAUUCAAAGAACAUAGCCACCUGUUCAGCUGCGGAUCAAUGCAAGACUUGUCAUAUCCUUUCUGGGCCAACAACCGAAGCCUGGACUGUGGACGUCAAGGAUUCAAGAUUUAGUGCCAAAACAAUAACACUGUUAUAGACACUACUAAAAAAUAAAUCUAUUAACAACUAACUAUUCCAUUACAGAUAAUAUUAAAAUAUGUUGUUGAUAAAAUUCAGCAACAGAAUUAGCAAUAGAUAAUUUCAGAUGCAAAUAAUAAAUGUUAAUUUUUUAACAACAGAUUAUCAGUUGCUAAUUUGUUUAGCAACAAAUUAUCCAUUGCUGAAAUUCGGUUACUGAAUGUGUAAAUUAGCAACGGAUAUUCCAUUGUUAAUGAACGUUGCUGAUCAGCAACGGAUAUUCUGUUGCUGAUCCGUUGCUAAUUAACAAUAGAAAUUUUGUUGCCAAUCCGUUGUUGAUUUAACAUGAAUUUUUUAAAUUAUUUUUUUCAUUUAUUGAAUUUUUUAAUUAUUUGUGGCUAUUUCAAAAAUUAUAGAUAAAUAUACAAAGAACAUAAAUUAAUAAUAUAAAUUAUUUUAUAAAAAAUAAUAAGUCAAAUAAAAUAAAUUUCACAAUAAAUUUUUAAAUCUCUUCAAACUUACAUCAAAAUAGAUAAGUCACAAUUUAAUAAAUAUGUUUUAUCAUAAAGGUGGUGGUGGGGGUGGUGUUGGAAACGAACCAAAACAAUGCUGACCAUCAUGAGGUGGGACCGGUAUACGGUGGUUGAGGCCUCGGUCGAUAUACUGGAUUAGACAAGGAAUACAUCUGUGGAGCCAUAUGUGAUGGCAUAGAUGAAGCCAUAAGUGUCAACAUACCUUGGUCCAUAUUUGAUGCCCAAGCUUGGUAUCCCAUAUUACUAAGAAAGUUUUUGAUUGAAGUCAUCUCCUGUUGUGGUGAUAAAAUAUGACCAUCUCUUUUCUUUAUUUGCUCUUUCAAUGCCUGAAUUGAUGGGCUAGGAGGUGUUGACUCCAUCGUAUAGGAUUGUGAUGAAGCACUCGUACUAACCAUGGAUUUCGGCAUAUCAGGUGCACCAUAUAUUCUACCCUUUAUAACUCCUUCUAUAGCCACACACCAAGCUGCUCCAUCAAAUGAAGGAUGAUUUUCCCGAUCAAUUUCAUAUAUUGAAAUCAUCUCUUUUAUGUAAUUCUCCUACAAUAAAAUUAAAUAUAAUAAUAAAUUCAUUUUAAUUUUAAAUAAUAAUUAAAUUACAUAAAAAAAUACUUACAACAACUUUUUUAGACUUGUUAUCUAUGAAGGUUUCAGGCUUCUUGGCAUUCUGAUGCAACACCAAAAACACAUCAUCCAUAAUUUAUCAAAGGGAAAUAUAAUACGUUAUUUUGAUUGUCCAAUGGAUUAGUAAAAUGAUGUAGGCAAAAUAGCUAGCUAAAUAGGAUACACUAAGCAAUUGCUCUGUUUAUUAUUUCUCACCAUAAUUUUUUUUCUUCAACUUUAGUAAUAUAGACUAUUCUAUUGGAAAAAAAAAUAUAAUCGUUUUCAUUGUCAAGUAAUAUUGUAGAAAUAAAGUUUGCAUGCAAACAUAUGCCAUAAUUAUUUUUUUUAACCAACUAUUAAAUAUUUAUUUCAUCAAUAAUUUAUUACUUAAGAUUGUCACAUUAAACAAAGAAAUACCAACAAACUAAAAACACUUUGGAGACAAAUUAUAUCAUUAUUAGCAAACAGAGGCUAAGAUUUAAUUACGAUGCAAUUUUUCUACAAAUCAAGUUAUCUUUCAAAAUUAAUAAAAAGUUUUAAGCUACAUUGACAAACCUGGAGGACCAAUAUGCACAACCCAAAAACUUGACAACUCCAAAUGCAAAUAAGUAAUGUGAUGAUGAUAGGUUCAACAAUCUGAAAUUAAAAAAAUAACAAUAAAUAAGAAUAAUAAUAUUAAAAAAUUAAAAAAGUAAAUUAGCAUGUAAUGAGCAAGAAUAGCAUUGAAUAAUGUUUCCAACCAUUUUAUUUAUGAUUUAUCAGGACUUUAUAAAAUAAAAGUCAUUUAACAAGUUGGAAAAUAAAAUCAUUUAAUAGGCUGGAAAGAGAAUCCCAACACUGCCAUUUCCUUGCCCACCCAAAAAUAAAGUCAGAAAAUAAUCAUUUAACAGGCUGGAAAGAGAAUUGGCAAUCACUGGGGAACGGAAUUGGAGUAGAUUUCAACUCACCUUUCUGCUCAACCUCAGGCUAAAUAACCUGAUAUUGAUGACAGCUGACCCUUCGCAGAAGGAAAUCCUCCAGCAAUUAACGGUACAAAAGUUAGCAUUCGUGGCUAUAGACGGCGAGGCUGAUGAACUUGGACUCACAUUUGUAACACAUACAAUAAUAGUCUUCUGAAGAGUCCCAUAUUAUAUUGAGCAUCCUGACAGAAAACAAGAAAUCUGGAUGAAAAUCAUUUACUUCUAGUUAAAAUAUUCAGAUUGAAUUGAACAUAGCAGACUCUUUCAACACAUGAAGAAAUCGCAUAGUAGCUAAUAUCUUCACAGACUAGUUCAUGAAUUCUGGAUCCAUCCUGCAGGUCAUGUUUUUUUUUUUCAACCAUGAAGAAACAACAUAUUAAAAUGCAUCGUUCUUGUCUCCAUUUGUUUCAGAUAAUGAGUCUCCAUUUGUUUCAAAUAAUGAAAAUCAACGUAACUACGUACUAGUUGUCGUCCUCUGCCAGCAUAAAUGAAAAAUGUAGCACGUUGGAGAAAAAAGACAAGGUUAAAGGAGACAAAGCCAAAGCCAUAUCGAGAAUGAAGGAACUAUUGCGAUGGGCUGCCUCUGCAAAAUCGGAGAAAGCAGGAAAGUAUAUCGGCCGGAAGGUCAAUUUUUUAACAUAUUUGAGUCAUUAAUCUUCUCCCUGAACCGGAAAAUUUAAAAUUUCUCCUCUCUCGGCAUGUUUGGACGUUUGAGUUCAUUAAGUGCGCAUGCAGUAUCGGUAAAGCCUUGGAAAAAAAAAAAAAGCCUUCAAAAAUUAAUUAAAUAAAAAAAAUCAAAUUAACUGAUUAUAAAAUCCAAAAAAACUAUUAUCCAGUUCAAUUUUAAUUUAAAAAACUUGAAAUUGAUUCAGCCAACAUUAAAUCUAAAAUAAAAAAAUAAAAAAAUUAAUAUUUUUAUUAACACAAAAUUAAUCAAACCCACAUUCCCCCAAUCAGCCUUCUUUUGCAUUUAUGCUGCCUAGACAACCUUCCUAAGACACAUUACUAGAGGUGAGCAAAAAAAAUUGAAAAACCGAUUUAACUGAGAAAACAAAAAAAAAUUAACCAAAAAAAUCAAACCGGUAAAAAAAACCGAUUGAACCGGUUAAAAUAUUUAGGAAAAUAUCCGGUUCAGUUUGGUUUUCGGUUUUGGUGUGCCUGAACCGGCCAACCCGAACCGAACCGGUUCGGUUUAAAAAUGAAAAAAAAAACCAAGUCGCGGGCCGCCUCCUCCCUCCUAUUAGUCAACAACCCUAGCAGACCAUUUAUCAUUUCCUUCUCUUUCACACAACCGCCCCCUCCCCUCCCAUUAACUCUUUGAAUGCUUUCACAAUUUGAAGGGUCCCUUUUAUUCACAGCUUCCAGCCUGCCAUGCUCUCUUUGUCUCUCAUCUCUCAACGUAAGGGAAAAGUAAUUGAUUACAGGUUAAGCUUUAAUAUUUCUUUUCAAUAUUUGAGUAAAAUUUGUCUUAUUCUCUUCCAAUCUUCCAUGCUUUCUGUCUCUCAUCUCUCAUCUCUCAAACUUGCCAUCUCAGAUGUGAAUUGUUGAUGAUUCUUCCAUUGAUUUACUUGAUUCUCCUUCAUGGGUCACGACACAAAAAGAUCCCACCUCGAUUGCCUGAGAGGGAUUAUUUUGGGUCUAGAAGCUGAAGAGUGUCCAGAAAAAUCAAAGUAGUGAUUGACUGAUUGCUAAGAACUGAUACUGUUUUUUUGCAAUUAACUUUUCCUUUGCAAGAAGUUGUAACAACGAGAACAACGUUGUUGAUUCUUAGAGGAUGACAUCUUGGAAUUGCAUUUCAGUUUGAAUCGGUUUGGAAGGGAAAAAACCGAACCGAACCAAAAUUAAUCGGUUUGAAUUGGUUUUUGGUUCGGUUCAAAAACUAAAAAAAAAUAUUUUGGUUUGGUUGUUUAUUUUGGUUCAAAACCGGACCGAACCGAAAAUGUUCAGCCCUACACAUUACCCAAACUUUGUAUGGAGAAGUUGGGAAGCUUUGCUAGGAAGCCGGCUAAGACACAUUCCCUACUAUCAUAUAUAGUUUUUACCAUAAAAUUUGCACAAACUCUGCCAUCCUUUCUAAAACACAUUACCCAUAUUUCUCCCCCAAAAAACAACACACAUACACCCAGUAAAACCAAAAAACCCAGAACCCUAUAAAAAGUCUAACUACUUCCAUAUUUAACAAUAAUUAGCAAUAGAUUUACAAAAUUAUUCUGUAAAAUUAGUUAAUAAAACAAUAUAUAUUCUCUCUAAAUUACAAACAUAAUCUUUUAAAUAUGGGUUUUUGAUUAUACCUGCUAUUUUAAUUUUUCACACCAUGUUUGCUCCCUGCAAGAUUGAAUUUUUGGAAGCAUAAAGUAACUGGAGAAGAAGUUAAGAAAACAACAAGUUAUGUUUGUGGAAAAUGACACAUGACAGGGAUAGGUAGAUUUAAAAGGGACAUAUGGGUUUGGCUCCUGGAAAAGGAAUAGAAAGGAAGAGAUAUGGGUUAAUUAGGUUUUUGAAGAAUUAUAGAAAGGGAUACAAUAUUGGGUUCUUUCGAAGAAUGAAGAAAGUUUGCAGCUGUGGGGUUCUCCUUUUGUUGUUUUCAAGUAAUAAAAAAGCAACACGUCAUUAUUAUUAUUAUUAUUUUAUAAAAGUUUACAGCAAUCAUAUUACAAGGGAAAAUAUGUUGUUGAUUCUUAAUAUAUUAAUUUAUUUUUUAGUAUCUAAUUUUUCAUUACUGAAUCCGUUGCUAAUAUUAAAAAAUUAAUAUAUAUUUAAUCCGUUGCUAAUUUAUUACUAAAAUUACAUCUAAAUUAUUCUAAUACUAACAUCCGAUGGUAAUUACCCUCCUUUUUUAAUAGUGAGAGAUCAUGUCACAGAAUUACAGCAUUAAUGUCAAUCGACAAAGAGCUUCCUAUUCGUACAGUAGUCGAAUGGAUAUGAAGGAUGAUGGUUGCCCUGAGGAUCUUUUUAACAUCACCCUCAGCAAUACUCCCUUUGAUUAUGCUCCUUGGAGUAUAAACCCUAGUUUUAUAUACGAUUUGCCCCCUGAAAAGUAGAAUCAAAUACCCAUUACCUCAAAAUGCCCCAUAAAAGUUACGACUGCCGGAGGUUUCUACAGACAAACGGAACCGGCAACCACAUAUUCAAUCAUGUGGUAACAACAUCCUAGUUUCGAUUCUUGCUGCCUUUGAGGAACUUUACAACCCUAAAGCAACAGUAAAGAUAGGUCUUGAAUCGGACUCCAAAGUUGACUGGAAACCUCACUCGUUAUGCACCACAACAAGAGAUGGACAAUGUGGACAUUAUCCGUGUAGUUUUUAAAGUUUACUUUUUGAUCAUAAAACUUCAUUCUUUCACCUUUCAAUCUUUGACUGUUGAGAGAGGAGAGAGGCACUGAAGAUGAAAAUAAAGAGAGAAAGCUUUAUAUCGGUGAUGAAAAUCGAUUGGUGUUAAUGAAUUUUUCUUGAAUAAAUGAGUCUAAUGAAAGUGAUUUAAAUCUUACAAAAAAAACAUAAACAAGGAAAGGAAGUUUUAAUCAAAGAAAAACUUGGCAAAAAUUCACAAUAAAAAUCUAUUUGCUUGAUACUAUGGCCUGUUGAUAUUUUUUUGAAGGAAAAGAAAGAUCUUAUCCAUGCCAAAGAUGCAUGCAUGCAUGGUUCCUGCUUUAUCAUGAAAAUAAUUAGGAUGGUUCUAAUCAACUGAAAACGGGGGCAAAAUUAGGAUUUUGAAAAUUAAGGGUGCCAAAAUGAAAAUAUAUUACAAUACAUUUAAAAAUAAAAUAAACUAGAAAUGAUCACUAUAGAAAAUUACAAUUACAAAAAAAGCCAGUGGUUUUACUGGACAAGAAGUUAUUGUGCACGCUCUGUAUUUUCAUUAUGAAUUACAAAAGUGCCAUUUUUCUUUUUGUAAAACCUAGUUGAAACUUGUCUAGAAAACAUAAUUAAAUGGGCUUAUACAAGUAAGAGGUGAGAAUGAAAGUCUAGUAAAUUAAGUAGGACUAAAUUAGAAACAUGAGGGAUAAUUUUAAAAUUAUUAUAAAGUGAAGGACUAAAAUGCAAAAAAGAAAAGAAAAGAAAGUUUAGCCUCUCUCUUAAAAGAGGGCUGGCGGUGUGAAGAAAAGAAAAACUCCAUCUUAUCAUAUUGAAUGGACUAACCGUUUUUUCCAUGGUUGCUUCUGCUUUUGAAGCAAACCACGGGAAAACAAACGUUUGGUAAUUAAUAAAACUCAAUUUACUGUUCAUGGGUCCUAUUGGUAUUUUCGUUGAAAACGCAGGAUUACUAAAAGCAGCACAAUACUGCUUUCAGUUGUGGAGAGUGUCUCCACUGUUCACGUGAACAGUGGAGCCUAUCUCUAUUGUUCCGGUCGGACCGGGUCUGGUCCAAAGUUAAAUAUAUUGAACCGGGUCCGAUCCAGUAAGAAAAAUUAAAUUAAAAUUUUUUAUUUUUAAUUGUGUUUUAUUCAAAAAACUAGUGUUUAAUAUUAUUCAAUGACACUACAUAAAUUAGACGGAGAUCGCUUGAUUGAUCGCAAUCCCAAUUUUGUUCUUGAUUAUAUUUUACCUUAUGUUGUUGCGUACUUAAGAAACCAAGAAAACUGUAAUCCUUGUUAGAUGUAUUUCAUACGUGAUGAAAUUGUAGAUAGUUUAAUUAAACAAUAAAAAAUAUUUUAUAUAAAGUAUUAUUUAUUUCAUGAUGUAAUAAUAAUAGUUAAAUCUAUAAUAUUUAAAUUAAAAACCAUCAAUAUUAAUCUAUAUUUUUUAAAAUUAUUUUAUAACCUUAAUUUAAAAAACAUUCUUAACUAAAGACAUUAAACUACUUUUUGUAUAACCUCAAUUUCAACCACAGUUUUAACCAAACAUACAUAAAUAUUAAACCAACCGCAACCAAAAGUACUUUUUAUAAAACAACUUUUUCAAACCACAACCAUAAAAGCUACCACAAUAUCAAACACACUUUAUCCAUCAAACUCAACUGAUGCAUUCAGUUUUUGGACUUUAAAAAAAAAUUUUUUAUUUUAAAUUAAUAUUUUUUAAUAUUUUAAUGUGCUAAUAUUAAAAAUAAUUUUUUUAAAAUAAAAUUUUUUUUUAAUAUAUUUUAAAUUUUUGUUUUUUUUUUAAAAAAACUCAAUAUCAUAUUCCAAAACAACCCGCCGUGACACUGCAAAAAAAAACCUUUGUGCCAGCACAAGGUAAACUUCCCAGUAACUAUCAUUUCAAGUGAUGAAAAGGCCGGCUGGUCAAAAAUUGUCUGUGGCAGAAAAGCUCCAAUAAUCAACUCAAACUCACCCUCUCAUAACCUUCAUUAUACUGAUUCCCUCUUCACCCUCCUCCCCCAUAAUUUAUUCACCACCGUGUCUCUUCCUCUAUCUCCUCCACAAAAUCAAGAUUCCUAAAUGAACCAUAACUUCUUUUUAACAUCCUUUUCUUCAAUAAUAAGUCUCUUUGUUGUCUCUUUGUUCCUCCUGGAAAAGAAAGCCUCAUGUACAGACCCUCAGUUCCUAGCUUGCAAUCCCGAAAGCUGUGGCGAUGGCCAAAACAUAAACUUCCCAUUUUACAUCCAGAACAAGCAAGAACCCUCAUGUGGCUACCCUGGAUUCAGUCUCUCUUGCAAUAACAAAGGCAAGCCAGUCCUUAAACUGUCCAAUAAUGAGUAUAUCAUCCACGAAAUCUACUACCAAAACCAGUCUCUUCGUGUCUCAAAUACAGCUGUUUUUGGGAAAAGCACCCCCUGUAUUCCUCAAAUACAAAACAUGUCUCUAGCUGAUGACAGGUUCCAUCUGCCUUCUAACAGAGCAAGCCUCUUCUUGCUUUACAAUUGCAACGCAACACUGCUAGCAAAUGAUAGUGAACUUCUGAAUUACAAGGUUGAUUGUUUUGGGGAGAAUGGAACUGUUUCAACUCUAGCAAUGCUUGAUGAUGAUCCUCUGUUGGGUCCUGCAUCGGACAAGUGUGAAACUGGAGCUGUGGCACCUGUGGAUGUGUAUAGAGGAGAGAAUGUUGGGAGUGAAAGGAUGCUAUUGUUAGAAAGAGGGUUUGUGUUGAAUUGGAUAGCAAGUAAUUGUAGCAUCUGUGAAGGGAGUGGUGGCAAGUGUGGAUUUGAUAACGCCACAUACCAUUUCAAAUGUUUCUGUCCUGAUAGACCUCAUUCUCGGUCUUGUACUUCCGGUGAGUCAUUUUAAUUUUUUCUUUUUUCCUGUCUUGAAAUUUUGUUAAUGUUAUUUUAUGGCAUAGAGCCAUUGCCCACUUGUUUGCCUUGGCUAAAAAGUUGCUAGUUGUGUGUUACGCUGGGAUACUCUCUUCCUUCCACUGUCUAGAAGAGGUAAAAAACUCUCUUCCUUCCACUGUCUAGAAGAGGUCCAUCUUGCUAGGCUAGCAAAGUCUUGGAUGAACAGUGGCACACACCACUAACAAACUGGCAGUAGGUACUGGGUGGUUUAGGCGAAGAGUCUUCGAUGAAAAAUGGGGAGAUAGCUACUUUCAUGCAUGUAUAUAAACUUGAUUUUUUAAUAUUUAUACAAUUUGAUUUGUAUCAUUUUCUGAAUGAUUCUUCAGGAAUAGAACUGGUUCUGUUUCAAUGAAUUUAGAUCAGGAAAUUAACCUGCAGCUGCCUGUUUUUUCUUCUGCAUUGGUUCAGCUCUUAUUAUUCGAACAUAACAUUAUGUUCUGUCAACUAUGAUGCAGGGAAUGGCAAUAUGGGACGAAAGCUUAUAAUAGGUAACAGAAUAAUUUAUCAUUUUUAUGUUUUAUAUGUUCCUUCACAAUCUUCACUUGAAUUCGACUGUCGUAUGCUUUUCUCCAUGCCUGUCCAUCAUCAAGGUGUAGGAACAGGAGGCCAAGCUAUAAUGAUAAUUCUGUUGCCAUUAUGCAUUUCCCUUUUCUGAUUAAAAGUAGAGGUCUCUCUUUCAGUGAACUUGAACAAGCCAACCAUCGUUUUCAUCCCUCGCAUUAUUUUCUUCAACCAAAAAACCUGACCAAGACGGACACUAUAUCUCCCAACUGAAACUGUUCUCCUCCUUCUCCAAUCUUUUAAACAAGCGUAGUACAAAGUGUUUAGCAGUACAUGUGCAUACAAGGCAUGCUUUACCAAACUUUCCUUCACUGUGAGAGGUUGAAACCUCUUCAAAAAUAGUUUAAAUGACUCAUUCUUAGACUGCAUUAUUUUCCUUCCUCAUCACCUUUCUUUACUGCAGCUGCCUCAGCUGCCGGCGUUGGAGUUCUAAUAAUUACAAUCUGCUGCGUCAUCAUCAGAAUGUUCUUACCCGUCAACUUCCUUUCCAGUUUGAGAAAAACCAGAGGAAGUCGAAGUAUAGAGGUUUUUCUGAGGAACUAUGGAACCUUGGCACCAAAAAGAUACAGUUAUUCAGAACUUAAGAAAAUGACCAAAACCUUCAAAGAGAAACUAGGCCAAGGAGGCUACGGAAGUGUUUUCAAAGGCAAUUUACCUGAUGGUCGUCUUGUUGGAGUUCUAAUAAUUACCACCUUUCAAGCAUCAGCCAGACUUCCCACGUCAACAUUGUUACUCUUCUGGGGUUCUGUUUUGCGGGUUCCAAACGAGCUCUAAUCUACGAGUUCAUGUCUAAUGGGUCACUUGACAAGCACAUAUAUGAAGAAAAUCUCUCGAAGGCAGAUCGCCAAUUGGGGUGGGAAACACUAUACCAAAUUGCAGUUGGCAUUGCUCGGGGAUUAGAAUACUUGCACAGAGGUUGCAACACAAGGAUUUUACAUUUCGACAUCAAGCCUAAUAAUAUUCUUCUAGAUGAAAACUUCUGUCCAAAAAUUUCUGAUUUCGGCCUGGCUAAAAUAUGCCCCAGAAAAGAGAGUAUCGUAUCGAUGACGGGUGCAAGAGGAACUAUUGGAUACAUUGCCCCCGAAGUAUUUUGUCGAAAUUUUGGAGGGGUCUCUCACAAAUCUGAUGUUUAUAGCUACGGGAUGCUAGUAUUAGAAAUGAUUGGAGGGAGAAAAAACUUCUGCGUCGGAGCUGGUAAUACCAGUGAGAUCUAUUUUCCAUAUUUGAUAUACAAGCGUCUUGAACUAGGUGAAGAACUUGGACUUCGAGGGACGGGCAAUAAAGUGGAAGAGCAAAUUGCAAGAAAAAUGAUUUCGGCAAGCUUGUGGUGCAUACAAACUGAUCCCUCAAAUCGGCCACCCAUGUCUCGAGUGGUAGAAAUGCUGCAAGGAAGCCUCGAGUCCUUGCCAAUCCCACCGAGACCGAUCUUGUCUUCCCCUCCAAGAUCUCCUCGUGGAUCAAUUUCAGAUUUCUCGAGCACCGCUAUCAUAAUCCAUGACCUUUAAGUUUUAAAUACGCAUCGCGUCUUCCUUGCACCAGGCCUGAUCUUUUUUGUGCUCGGAACCAUGCCCAGCUAACAACUUUCUCUCUUCUUUGCUAUUUACUAGCAACUCUUUCUCUUCUCUCAAACUAGGGGUCAAAAUGGGAACAAAAUAAAGUCUUGGACCAAAAGGAAACUUUGACAAAAAAAGCAGAGGGACUGUUGUUUUCCCUAUAUCAGAGCUACCAUUUUGAUUGUUAUUCAAUAUUGGUACCCUAGCUUCUAAUCCAAUUAGAACCAUAAAAUUAAUUUGAUUUCCGCAAUAUCAAGUCCGAACCUAAAGUUGAAAUGCCUUGUCAAGACCACGGUAGCCUAACAGAAGGCAAGCAAGAUCAAAUUAGAACACAAUUACCUAAAUUUACCCUUUUUAUUUUUCUUCCUAAAGCAUUUUUAAAAAAAAUUAAUUUUUUAUUUUAUUUCUUUUUUAUUUUAAAUUAAUAUUUUUUUAGUAUUUUUAGAUCAUUUUAAUACGCUGAUUUCAAAAAUAAUUUUAAAAAAUAAAAAAACAUUAUUUUAAUACAUUUUUAAAUGAAAAAUAUUUUGAAAAGGAACCGUAACCAAUUAUAAAAAAACUCAAUUAAAUAAGAAAAACCUCGAAACAAAAUUUAGAAGGGCAGAAAAAUAAAAAUACUCUGAAAUCUUUGAGGGAGUUUUGUAACAUUUAAAAAACACUAGCACUUAUAGAUGCAGAAAUAUUCCAUUUUAUUUCCAAUUGACUUGAAAAUCUUUCAAAGACGCCGGCUGUUGUUUGUGAAGUUCCAACGUGAGCCAUGGACGUUAAAUGUAGUGGUGGAUGGGAGUUGUUCCUCCCUUGCCCCUGCUACAUAUUUAUAGGAUUUGGUACGGGUUCACGUAUUUUCAUAUAUAUAUUUUUAAUUAGAAUAUAGUAUUUAAUAGUUUAUACUCAAUAAAAAAUAAAAUACAAUGCCAAAUGAGGCCAUCUACUUGAGCAUUAAAGCAGGGUCAUCGAGGGCUUUGAAUCCGGAUGUUAUUUGAUAGACAUACAUGAACAGGUAAGUAUUAUUGCAACAGCACAGCUAGAAUGACACUCGGAUACCAAGUAAGGCCAUCAGCUGAGACACAAACUGAGGGUGCCCUGGCCAUGCGGCUCCGGUAACCAAGUUUUCGUCGGUGUAGCAACGAUCGAUUGGAUCCGGUUCUAGCCAUGUUGCCCCUCCCAAGACGACGUUCAGCUUCACAGCAGGGUAUGCGGUGCACUUUCUUCCCUGCAGCAACAUGAUUCACAUAUACAAGAAUAAGGAUGGCAAGUGUGAAGAAAAUGAUUACUUCUGUGAUUCUAUGAAGGGGAAAGAAAACAUUGGAUACUACCUUGAGAACUCCCGCAGCAGCUAGGAUCUGCUGUCCGUGACAAAUAGAGGCAACUGGCUUCUUUGAUUGCAUGAAUUUCUUCACCAAGGCAAUCACUGUCUCAUCCAGUGCCAAAUAUUCUGGAGACCGGCCUCCAGGGAUGACGAGAGCGUCGUAACUCGAGGCAUCCAAGCCUUCAUAGGAAGCUGUUAGAAUGAAAUUAUGGCCUGGCUUCUCAGUGUAUGUUUGGUCACCUUCAAAGUCAUGGACUGCAGUCGGGCAGAAAUCCCCAGCCUUCUUCUUGGGGCAAACUGCAUCAACGUGGCACCCAAGAGCUUGAAGGGAUUGAAGAGGAACAGUAACCUCAUAAUCUUCCAUGAAAUCCUGAAAGCAAGAAUAAGAGAAUAAAUACUUCUUAGUAAACAAGAAAAAACACUUGUUUCUUCGAGCUUGAUGAUAGUAACCAGAGUCAAAUAAUUUUUGUAUUAGAACUUACCCCACAGAGAAACAGAAUCCUUUUAUCUGAACCAGCUAUCUUGUCUCCCAGUGCCUUCACAACAAGCUGGAUGUACUCAGGAUGCGCCUUAUAUAUAACUCCAGUAAUGAGAUUGCCAUCAGAAACACAAUCCAUCAUGGUUUUAGGUUCAAUCCAAUGAGCACCGGCAUCGAUGAGAACAGGUCUCAGAGCAUGGUAUGCAGUGCACUUCCGGCCUUUUAAUAAGCCUGCAGCUGCCAAGAUCAAUGGCCCAUGGCAAAUAGCAGCAAUCAGCUUUCCUGAAU
This 21412-nucleotide long non-coding RNA is filed under the name Populus trichocarpa (black cottonwood). Its description in RNAcentral is "long non-coding RNA (PTRI_LNC001176)". The record is from RNAcentral. Lineage: Eukaryota; Viridiplantae; Streptophyta; Magnoliopsida; Malpighiales; Salicaceae.